Molecule: ribosomal RNA, 1537 nt
Filed under: Streptococcus pneumoniae GA14798
Lineage: Bacteria; Bacillati; Bacillota; Bacilli; Lactobacillales; Streptococcaceae
Description: bacterial SSU rRNA
Rfam family: Bacterial small subunit ribosomal RNA
Source: RNAcentral
GAGUUUGAUCCUGGCUCAGGACGAACGCUGGCGGCGUGCCUAAUACAUGCAAGUAGAACGCUGAAGGAGGAGCUUGCUUCUCUGGAUGAGUUGCGAACGGGUGAGUAACGCGUAGGUAACCUGCCUGGUAGCGGGGAUAACGUAUUGGAAACGAUAGCUAAUACCGCAUAAGAGUGGAUGUUGCAUGACAUUUGCUUAAAAGGUGCACUUGCAUCACUACCAGAUGGACCUGCGUUGUAUUAGCUAGUUGGUGGGGUAAGGGCUCACCAAGGCGACGAUACAUAGCCGACCUGAGAGGGUGAUCGGCCACACUGGGACUGAGACACGGCCCAGACUCCUACGGGAGGCAGCAGUAGGGAAUCUUCGGCAAUGGACGGAAGUCUGACCGAGCAACGCCGCGUGAGUGAAGAAGGUUUUCGGAUCGUAAAGCUCUGUUGUAAGAGAAGAACGAGUGUGAGAGUGGAAAGUUCACACUGUGACGGUAUCUUACCAGAAAGGGACGGCUAACUACGUGCCAGCAGCCGCGGUAAUACGUAGGUCCCGAGCGUUGUCCGGAUUUAUUGGGCGUAAAGCGAGCGCAGGCGGUUAGAUAAGUCUGAAGUUAAAGGCUGUGGCUUAACCAUAGUAGGCUUUGGAAACUGUUUAACUUGAGUGCAAGAGGGGAGAGUGGAAUUCCAUGUGUAGCGGUGAAAUGGCGUAGAUAUAUGGAGGAACACCGGUGGCGAAAAGCGGCUCUCUGGCUUGUUAACUGACGCUGAGGCUCGAAAGCGUGGGGAGCAAAACAGGAUUAGAUACCCUGGUAGUCCACGCUGUAAACGAUGAGUGCUAGGUGUUAGACCCUUUCCGGGGUUUAGUGCCGUAGCUAACGCAUUAAGCACUCCGCCUGGGGAGUACGACCGCAAGGUUGAAACUCAAAGGAAUUGACGGGGGCCCGCACAAGCGGUGGAGCAUGUGGUUUAAUUCGAAGCAACGCGAAGAACCUUACCAGGUCUUGACAUCCCUCUGACCGCUCUAGAGAUAGAGUUUUCCUUCGGGACAGAGGUGACAGGUGGUGCAUGGUUGUCGUCAGCUCGUGUCGUGAGAUGUUGGGUUAAGUCCCGCAACGAGCGCAACCCCUAUUGUUAGUUGCCAUCAUUUAGUUGGGCACUCUAGCGAGACUGCCGGUAAUAAACCGGAGGAAGGUGGGGAUGACGUCAAAUCAUCAUGCCCCUUAUGACCUGGGCUACACACGUGCUACAAUGGCUGGUACAACGAGUCGCAAGCCGGUGACGGCAAGCUAAAUCUCUUAAAGCCAGUCUCAGUUCGGAUUGUAGGCUGCAACUCGCCUACAUGAAGUCGGAAUCGCUAGUAAUCGCGGAUCAGCACGCCGCGGUGAAUACGUUCCCGGGCCUUGUACACACCGCCCGUCACACCACGAGAGUUUGUAACACCCGAAGUCGGUGAGGUAACCGUAAGGAGCCAGCCGCCUAAGGUGGGAUAGAUGAUUGGGGUGAAGUCGUAACAAGGUAGCCGUAUCGGAAGGUGCGGCUGGAUCACC